Molecule: ribosomal RNA, 452 nt
Filed under: uncultured Alphaproteobacteria bacterium
Lineage: Bacteria; Pseudomonadati; Pseudomonadota; Alphaproteobacteria
Description: bacterial SSU rRNA
Rfam family: Bacterial small subunit ribosomal RNA
Source: RNAcentral
UGGGUAGUCCGCACGAGCGCACCUCAUCUUUAGUUGCCAGCAGUUCGGCUGGGCACUCUAAAGAAACUGCCUGGGAUGACCAGGAGGAAGGCGAGGAUGACGUCAAGUCCUCAUGGCCCUUAUGGGCUGGGCUACACACGUGCUACAAUGGCGGUUACAGUGGGAAGCAAUAGGGUGACCUGGAGCUAAUCCCCAAAGGCCGUCUCAGUUCGGAUUGUUCUCUGCAACUCGAGAACAUGAAGUCGGAAUCGCUAGUAAUCGUGGAUCAGAACGCCACGGUGAAUACGUUCCCGGGCCUUGUACACACCGCCCGUCACACCAUGGGAGUUGGUUUUACCCGAAGACGAUAUCCUAACCUUUUGGAGGGAGUCGGCCACGGUAGGGUCAGCGACUGGGGUGAAGUCGUAACAAGGUAGCCGUAGGGGAACCUGCGGCUGGAUCACCUCCUUUCU